UGCGAACAAUAUUUAGUUGCUAGAUUGGCGGAGCUCUGGACGAACAAAAUCAGCGUCUGCAGGCACUGAAAUGUCCACUGAUGGUCUCAACUGGGCACAGACUUCAACUGCUCCAUGCACUGGAUCUGACAUGAAGUUACUAAUGAGAUCCUGGUUGAUAGGAGCACCGUUGUCAACUGCUACCAAGGCUUGCUGGGUGAGAAUGUAGUCAAAGCGUGGAGCCCACUUUCUUGAACCCAGUCGUGCUGUCGUUGAGCAAUUAUCCACCAUGAAGGAAAGUCCACGAGCAUGCAUGAAUGGAUUU
This 304-nucleotide long non-coding RNA is filed under the name Daucus carota (carrot). RNAcentral's name for it is "long non-coding RNA (DCAR_LNC003204)". The record is from RNAcentral. Lineage: Eukaryota; Viridiplantae; Streptophyta; Magnoliopsida; Apiales; Apiaceae.